GAUGAACGCUAGCUACAGGCUUAACACAUGCAAGUCGAGGGGUAACGAGAGGAAAGCUUGCUUUCCUUGUCGACGACCGGCGCACGGGUGAGUAACGCGUAUCCAACCUGCCCCCAACUAGGGAAUAACCUUGCGAAAGUAAGACUAAUACCCUAUAAUUUCCUCAGAUGUCAUCUGACGAGGAAUAAAGAUUUAGCGGUUGUGGAUGGGGAUGCGUCUGAUUAGCUUGUUGGCGGGGUAACGGCCCACCAAGGCAACGAUCAGUAGGGGUUCUGAGAGGAAGGUCCCCCACAUUGAAACUGAGACACGGUCCAAACUCCUACGGGAGGCAGCAGUGAGGAAUAUUGGUCAAUGGGCGGAAGCCUGAACCAGCCAAGUAGCGUGCAGGAUGACGGCCCUGUGGGUUGUAAACUGCUUUUGUACGGAACGAAAAGGUUUGGGCUAAUAAGCUGAGCUCAUGACGGUACCGUAAGAAUGAGCACCGGCUAACUACGUGCCAGCCGCCGCAGUAA
This 512-nucleotide ribosomal RNA is filed under the name uncultured bacterium. RNAcentral describes it as "partial 16S ribosomal RNA". It matches the Rfam family "Bacterial small subunit ribosomal RNA", at positions 28 to 523 of the family's 1533-position model. The record is from RNAcentral.